Molecule: ribosomal RNA, 259 nt
Filed under: uncultured bacterium
Lineage: Bacteria
Description: partial 16S ribosomal RNA
Rfam family: Bacterial small subunit ribosomal RNA
Source: RNAcentral
UACGUAGGGUGCGAGCGUUGUCCGGAAUUUACUGGGCGUAAAGAGCUCGUAGGUGGUUUGUCGCGUUUGUUUCGUGAAAACUCACAGCUUAACUGUGGGCGUGCGGGCGAUACGGGCAGACUGGAGUACUGCAGGGGAGACUGGAAUUCCUGGUGUAGCGGUGGAAUGCGCAGAUAUCAGGAGGAACACCGGUGGCGAAGGCGGGUCUCUGGGCAGUUUAGCUGACACUGAGGCGCGACAGCGUGGGGGAGCAAACAGG